This 578-nucleotide ribosomal RNA is filed under the name Saccharomyces cerevisiae (brewer's yeast). Its description in RNAcentral is "partial large subunit ribosomal RNA". It matches the Rfam family "Eukaryotic large subunit ribosomal RNA", at positions 78 to 664 of the family's 3401-position model. Lineage: Eukaryota; Fungi; Ascomycota; Saccharomycetes; Saccharomycetales; Saccharomycetaceae. The record is from RNAcentral.
CCUUAGUACGGCGAGUGAAGCGGCAAAAGCUCAAAUUUGAAAUCUGGUACCUUCGGUGCCCGAGUUGUAAUUUGGAGAGGGCAACUUUGGGGCCGUUCCUUGUCUAUGUUCCUUGGAACAGGACGUCAUAGAGGGUGAGAAUCCCGUGUGGCGAGGAGUGCGGUUCUUUGUAAAGUGCCUUCGAAGAGUCGAGUUGUUUGGGAAUGCAGCUCUAAGUGGGUGGUAAAUUCCAUCUAAAGCUAAAUAUUGGCGAGAGACCGAUAGCGAACAAGUACAGUGAUGGAAAGAUGAAAAGAACUUUGAAAAGAGAGUGAAAAAGUACGUGAAAUUGUUGAAAGGGAAGGGCAUUUGAUCAGACAUGGUGUUUUGUGCCCUCUGCUCCUUGUGGGUAGGGGAAUCUCGCAUUUCACUGGGCCAGCAUCAGUUUUGGUGGCAGGAUAAAUCCAUAGGAAUGUAGCUUGCCUCGGUAAGUAUUAUAGCCUGUGGGAAUACUGCCAGCUGGGACUGAGGACUGCGACGUAAGUCAAGGAUGCUGGCAUAAUGGUUAUAUGCCGCCCGUCUUGAAAACCGGACACACA